GGCGUGAUCACUCCUCCAGCA
RNAcentral lists this non-coding RNA (21 nucleotides) under Arabidopsis thaliana (thale cress). Lineage: Eukaryota; Viridiplantae; Streptophyta; Magnoliopsida; Brassicales; Brassicaceae. The record is from RNAcentral.